RNAcentral lists this long non-coding RNA (482 nucleotides) under Lathyrus oleraceus (garden pea). RNAcentral describes it as "Pisum sativum (pea) long non-coding RNA (PSAT_LNC033283)". The record is from RNAcentral. Lineage: Eukaryota; Viridiplantae; Streptophyta; Magnoliopsida; Fabales; Fabaceae.
UAUCCAUGGUUUUAAUAUUCAUCACUAAUGGUGUUUGUUGGUAUAUGACAAUUUUUUUUGUAGUGCAUACUUGACAAAUUCUUCAAAUCUUCUAUAGGUCUUAUGACAUAAUCGCACUUUGGAUUCAAUGAACUCAAAAUCUUCGACACUAUAGAUUUUGAUGUUAACACUUUUUCACACGUCUUGAUUUGAUUAACCAGUUUUGUUAUUCUGGUGAAGAAAUCAGUCACACUUUCAUUGUCUUCCAUCUGAAACAAUUCAUACAUUCUUUUGUGAGUUUGUAACCUCACCUCCUUCACUUUCUCAGUGCUUCCAAAUGAUUUUUCCAGGAUAUCCCAUGUUUCCUUUGUUGAAUCUACAUUGCCAACUUUCUCAAAGUUGUCUGGAUCAACACAUUGAUGGAUUAAAAAGAGAGUCUUGUAAUCUUUCUUCUUCAAAUCUUAGUGUGCAACCUUUUGUUCAUCCGUAACAUUCUCUCAAAU